Molecule: ribosomal RNA, 467 nt
Filed under: uncultured bacterium
Lineage: Bacteria
Description: partial 16S ribosomal RNA
Rfam family: Bacterial small subunit ribosomal RNA
Source: RNAcentral
GACGAACGCUGGCGGCGUGCUUAACACAUGCAAGUCGAACGGACAGGCCUCUUUCGGGGGGUACUCGCGUGGCGAACGGGUGAGUAACACGUGCGUAAACUGCCCUUGUCUUUGGGUUAACUUAAGGCAACUGGGGGGAGUACAGGCUAGGUGCUCCUGCUGCCUGCAGGGUGCUGGAAUGUUUCGGCGGUUGGGGGUGGCCUCGCGGCUUAUCAGCUUGUUGUUGGGGUAGUGGUUUACCAAGGCCUUGACGGGUCGCCGGCCUGAGAGGGUGAUCGGCCACACUGAGUCUGAGAGACGGCCCAGACUGCGACGGGAGGCAGCAGUGGGGAAGCUUGCACAAUGGGUGGAGGCCUGAUGAAGCAGCGCCGUGUGCGGGAUGACGGCCUUCGGGUUGUAGACCGCUUUCGCUCAUGACGAAGCUUUGUGUGACGGUAGUGGGUAAAGAAGCACCGGCUAACUACGUG